This is a long non-coding RNA of Aedes aegypti (yellow fever mosquito), 554 nucleotides long. RefSeq lists it as uncharacterized. The record is from RefSeq and is a predicted model, not a curated record. The transcript has 2 exons. Lineage: Eukaryota; Metazoa; Arthropoda; Insecta; Diptera; Culicidae.
CGGCUGCCUAAAACUUGGACUUUUUCGGCCAUAAAACAGGAACAUUUUGGAACAAAUUGGCCCGUCUAGUUUGCAUUUUUGUGUGGAAGAUACGGUGGCCGUACACUUUCCGAAUUAGCCUCUACAAUUGCUGUUCUGUUAUUGAUUUCCGGAUAACGUUCCACCACGGCCCUAGUAGAAGAAAUGCCACAAUCGGGAACCUGGACUAUGGCGUAAACAUUGGAAGCACUGUUUUCCGGAUAGAUGAAACACCAUCGGAAAUGUCACAUCGGUGAUUACCUCGAAGACAGGAUUGUGCACGAGAUCUCUAGUGGAACCGCAUUCUGGAGCGGCCAAACUAUCAUCCCGACGUGGAAUGGGAUUCCUGAUGUUCCAGCAACAACAGUUUGACCACAUAAGUACCUCCUGCAGGAACCCCAAGACGUUCAUUGUGGAUAUCAGUAUUUACGUUCGUCAAUAUCGCGUUCCCCGUGAUUGUAUGCUUUAAGAGCAAUCAAGUUUUUUGUUUCAUAGUUCAAUAAAUGUUUUAUUCAGGUUUUCUUUUAUUUUAGUAA